This 250-nucleotide ribosomal RNA is filed under the name uncultured bacterium. RNAcentral describes it as "partial 16S ribosomal RNA". It matches the Rfam family "Bacterial small subunit ribosomal RNA", at positions 523 to 769 of the family's 1533-position model. The record is from RNAcentral.
AUACGGAAGGGGGCUAGCGUUGCUCGGAAUGACUGGGCGUAAAGGGCGUGUAGGCGGUUUACACAGUCAGAUGUGAAACUCCCCGGGCUUAACCGUGGGAGCUGCAUUUGAUACGUGUAGACUAGAGUGUGAGAGAGGGUUGUGGAAUUCCCAGUGUAGAGGUGAAAUUCGUAGAUAUUGGGAAGAACACCGGUGGCGAAGGCGGCAACCUGGCUCAUGACUGACGCUGAGGCGCGAAAGCGUGGGGAGC